RNAcentral lists this ribosomal RNA (413 nucleotides) under Rhipicephalus microplus (southern cattle tick). Its description in RNAcentral is "partial large subunit ribosomal RNA". Lineage: Eukaryota; Metazoa; Arthropoda; Arachnida; Ixodida; Ixodidae. The record is from RNAcentral.
UAUUUUGACUAUACAAAGGUAUUGAAAUAAGGUUUUAAUUGAAUGCUAAAAGAAUGGAAUAUCAAAGAAUAACUUUCUUAAAAUUAAAAAUUGAAAUUUUUUUAAUUUGUGUAAAAACAAUUAUAUAAAUUAAAGACAAGAAGACCCUAAGAAUUUUUAAAAUUUAAAUUAACACAUUUUUGUUUUAAUUAAAUUUUAACUGGGGCGGUUAAAAAAUAUUAAAAACUUUUUAAUUUUGAAAAUGACCCAUUAUUAAUGAAAAUAUGAUAAAAUACUCUAGGGAUAACAGCGUUAUAUUUUUUGAUAGAUCAUAUUGACAAAAAAGUUUGCGACCUCGAUGUUGGAUUAGGAUACUUUUUUAAUGAAGAUAUUAAAAUAAGAAGUUUGUUCAACUUUUAAAUUCCUACUUGAUC